GCUCAGCUGUGGGGCCACAGAAGGCAGGAUCGGUGAUGACCUCCACCAUGGCUUGGUCCCCUCUCCUCCUCAGCCUCCUCGCUCACUGCACAGGAUCCUGGGCCCAGUCUGUGCUGACUCAGCCGCCCUCCGUGUCUGGGGCUUUGGGCCAGAGGGUCACCAUCUCCUGCACUGGAAUCCCCACCAGCAUGGAUUAUGAUAGAGAGGUCACAUACCAUUAUGUGAACUGGUACCAACAGCUCCUAGGAAAGGCACCCAUUCUCCUCAUCUAUAAUGAUGAUAGCAGAAACUCUGGGGUCCCUGAUCGAUUCUCUGGUUCCAAGUCAGAAAGCUCAGCCACCCUGACCAUCACUGGCCUUCAGGCUGAGGAUGAGGCUGAGUAUUAUUGCCAGUCCUAUGAUAGCAAUCUCAAUACUCACACAGUGCUCUAG
Neomonachus schauinslandi (Hawaiian monk seal) is the source of this 431-nucleotide non-coding RNA. NCBI's taxonomy places the organism in Eukaryota, Metazoa, Chordata, Mammalia, Carnivora, Phocidae. The record is from the annotation of a RefSeq genome assembly.